Molecule: long non-coding RNA, 582 nt
Filed under: Gossypium barbadense (sea-island cotton)
Lineage: Eukaryota; Viridiplantae; Streptophyta; Magnoliopsida; Malvales; Malvaceae
Description: long non-coding RNA (GBAR_LNC005400)
Source: RNAcentral
AAUAAGACAAAUACCCUCAAAUAGUUUAACUUAUUUUAAUUACAAAUAGACAUUUCUGUAAUUUUUUAACCGAGCUGAUGACUCGAUUGGGAGUAACACCAACUCAGUAAAAUAUUUAAUAAAUAGUUUAUAUAUUAAGAAUUAUGACCAUCUACAACCAAAAUGAUUGGGCGCAUAUCAAGAGCAUAAUAAAAGUUUUCCAAAUGAAAAUCAUAGUUCCCAUGGGGACCAAGGAACAUCUAUCCAGUCUAACACAUUAAUGAGUCAUGGUACAAACAAAACUUCAAUUCAGUUGAAUGCAUUUAUAGCAGGUAAACGAGUUCACAAGUAGAUGCAGGAUGUAAUCCUGGCCCCUAAAAACUGCUACAACAUUCCAUCCAUGUGCAUCUGGGAAGGUGACUUCGAGGACGCUACAGUAGUUCUGAGCUUUACUACGCCAUAUAUAUCUCAAAUCUUUUGAAACCUGUCACGUAAAAAGCAUUAAACAAUAAUGGCAUGAUUUCCAUAUAUGCUCAUGUUAACCCAUAUAUAAAUAUCCUUUAUACUAAUCUUACUACAGAUUUUCGAUAUAAUGUCAUAAUU